Molecule: long non-coding RNA, 632 nt
Filed under: Nicotiana benthamiana
Lineage: Eukaryota; Viridiplantae; Streptophyta; Magnoliopsida; Solanales; Solanaceae
Description: long non-coding RNA (NBEN_LNC037932)
Source: RNAcentral
GAGAAUGAAGAUUAAGAAAAUGGUAGCGACAAUGCAUGAAGCUAAGUUUGUCCGUCCACUUGGAGGUUUACGAGACUUAACCAUUUUCUGAAUCUUGAAAUGUGGCUAUGAAGACAAGAAAGAAAGAGAGUGACUGUGUGUCUGUGUGAGAGAGAGAGGAUUCAAGAAAGUGAUAAGAGUGUCUAUGGACAGAGUGUGAAAAUGGAGACAGAGUUAACGGUGAUAACGGGAUCUUUUGGUUUGAAAACAGUGAAGUAAACGAUGAGAAUUACAAUGAGAAUGAAGAUUAAGAAAAUGGUGGCGACAAUGCAUGAAGCUAAGUUUGUACGUCCACUUGGAGGUUUACGAGACUUAACCAUUUUCUGAAUCUUGAAAUGUGGCUAAAGAUGAAAACUUUUUUUUUUGUGUGUUUAGAGAAAAAGACAGAGAUACUGUUUUUUGGAUGCGGUGCCUGAAGACAAGAAAGAAAGAGAGUGAGUGUGUGUCUGUGUGAGAGAGAGAGGAUUCAAGAAAGUGAUAAAAGAGUGUCUGUGGACAGUGUGAAAAUGGAGACUUAUUUGCAAUUUGGUUUGCGUAAUUUCGGUUCUUUUUGUCACUUCUUUUUGCUAAAAAAUUGAGACCCGGGAAAAGAG